This is an RNA transcript of Bombus impatiens (common eastern bumble bee), 1219 nucleotides long. It is a transcript of the gene named guanylate kinase, with no coding region annotated. The transcript is spliced from 5 exons. The record is from RefSeq and is a predicted model, not a curated record. Lineage: Eukaryota; Metazoa; Arthropoda; Insecta; Hymenoptera; Apidae.
UGUUUUCGGUGUUUUUGGUCUACCGUAUCUUUCAUCGAUUUGUAUUAAAUUCAUCGUAAAUACAACAGUAGAUAUGCCUGCACUUACACGUUCUCCUCAAUUGUGUGAAAAUUAAUUGAAUUAUAAAUACGUAAGAGUAUGGCAUCACUUUCAUGUUUUAGAACAUUAGCAUUAGGUGCUUGUAAUAUGUUUCAUAAAGGCUCACGUCCAUUAGUUUUGUGUGGUCCUUCAGGAAGUGGGAAAAGUACGCUUUUAAAAAAGCUUUUUGAAGAAUUUCCAGAUACAUUUGGUUAUUCUGUGUCUCAUACCACUAGAAGUCCUAGACCAGGCGAGGAAAAUGGGAAACAUUAUCAUUUUACUACUAAAGAUAAGAUGCAAAAACAAAUAGAACAGGAUGAAUUUCUUGAAACUGCUACAUUCAGUGGAAAUAUGUAUGGUACUAGUAAACGUGCAGUAGAAGAAGUACAAAAAGCAGGUAAAAUUUGCGUAUUAGAUGUUGAAGUGCAAGGUGUAAAACAAAUAAAACAAAGUUCUUUGGAUCCAUUGUAUAUAUUUAUUAAAGCACCAUCUAUCGAAGAAUUGGAGAAAAGAUUAAGAGCUAGGAAAACAGAAACAGAAGAUGCUUUGCAACGGAGAUUAUCCAUUGCUAGGCUAGAGAUAGAAUAUGAAUUAUUUUAGGAGAAAAGCCUGGUAAUUUUGACAUAGUGAUUGAAAAUGACAAUGUUUCUAAGGCAUAUGAAAAACUAAGAGACUUUUUGAUGUCAAAUCUAAAGCAAGGUGAUGCAGGACGUUAAACAUAUGCCUCUUAAAGAUACAUUAUUCUUUAAAAUCAUAAAUCAUAAAUUAUAAUUAUUUUUAUAUAUCAUUGUGUAAAUUAUAAUAAUAGAUAAUUAUUACACGAUGAAGUGCAUGAUUAACUUAUGUCCAAGGAUCGGAUUACUAGAUCAAAGAAUAAAUUUAUGCAAAUAAUUUUAUACAAUGCUAAAUAAAUCUUAAUAUUGCAAGAGUAAAUAUAGGUAUACAUGCUUCAAGCUUGUUACAUGCAUGGUACUAAUGUAAAAAUUCAGAUUAAUGUCACUUUAAAGGCAUUGUAAAGCAAGGAUUACAAAUGUAUAGUUUAAAGUAAAACUAUGAAUAAGGAAACAAGGAUAUGCAGAAUGUUCAUACAAUUUGUUUCUAUCCAAUACUUAAAGAGACUAAGUAUAUGUCAAGUAACAGA